Long non-coding RNA from Panicum virgatum (switchgrass), 479 nucleotides. RefSeq lists it as uncharacterized. Lineage: Eukaryota; Viridiplantae; Streptophyta; Magnoliopsida; Poales; Poaceae. The record is from RefSeq and is a predicted model, not a curated record. The transcript has 2 exons.
CUUAUGUUGUGUAGUUGAUGAGAAAAAUAAACAGUCUGCAACCUUUUGGUCAUGUCUUCAGGACAUACAAGAGGGGCUUCAGGAACUUACAAUCUGAGGACACAUGGAGUGGUUGUGAGAUGGCUUCAUGGUGCCCUUUUGGUCACAGCGCCCUUUUGGUCACAGGAACAAGUCAAAUGAUGCAAGAAUUGGAUGAAGUGCACGUGCUUCCUUUUGAUGCCUUAUCUGUUAAUUGCAUUUGUGAACUUGUAACUUGUUUGAUCUCUCUUUAAUUAUUGGUGGACCAAUGAAACCAUGUGAACUUGUAAUAUUUUGUGGUGGGCUGGUGGCACGUGAACUUGUAAUGGACUACGUGCUUAGGAAGUUAGGAGGUUGCACCUGGAACUUAUUUGCUGCAUGCCUGCAUGUUACAUGCUGAUGCAGAGAUGCUACUGUUGAAUUUAAGCUUGCUGGAAUGAGCCAAUGAGCCAUCUGCCUUA